GUGUAAGUAUGAACAAAUUCAGACUGUAAAACUGCGAAUGGCUCACUAAAUCAGUUAUAGUUUGUUUGAUGGUAUCUACUACUCGGAUAACCGGAGUAAUUCUAGAUCUAAUACGUGUAACAAACCCCGACUUCUGGAAGGGAUGCAUUUAUUAGAUAAAAGGUCGACGUGGGCUCUGCCCGUUGCUGCGAUGAUUCAUGAUAACUAAAUAGAUUGCACGACCAUCAUGCCUUUCGACCUCUAACCAUGAUGGUCGAG
RNAcentral lists this non-coding RNA (258 nucleotides) under Capsicum annuum. RNAcentral's name for it is "Eukaryotic small subunit ribosomal RNA". It matches the Rfam family "Eukaryotic small subunit ribosomal RNA", at positions 57 to 333 of the family's 1831-position model. Lineage: Eukaryota; Viridiplantae; Streptophyta; Magnoliopsida; Solanales; Solanaceae. The record is from Rfam by way of RNAcentral.